Molecule: non-coding RNA, 328 nt
Organism: Osmia lignaria (orchard mason bee)
Lineage: Eukaryota; Metazoa; Arthropoda; Insecta; Hymenoptera; Megachilidae
Source: RefSeq, a predicted model, not a curated record
AUCCCUUUCAAUAUCAGGACAUUGUUCCAUAGUAUUAUUUGUUUGUUCUCUUAAUACAAGGUUUAACAAGGUAGUUAAUUCUGAAGAGGGUGAAUCAGGAGUUUGUAAUCUGUGAAAGAAACAAAAAUCUAAAUUCUCUGGCCAACCACUGAAAGUACUCAAUCUUCCUUCGUAUGUGGCAUGAUUUGGUUUUUUAGGAGCUGUAUGCGUUUGUAUCCCUAAUUCCGUGAGGUUUGAUGUUGCUCCAGGCAUUAACUUUACAUUGGAUAAAUAUAAUUGAUCUAAUAAUAAACAAGCUCAAAUAUAACAAUUGCUUCAAAUAAAAAAA